This 2537-nucleotide long non-coding RNA is filed under the name Canis lupus familiaris (dog). Its description in RNAcentral is "lncRNA (ENSCAFG00040002577.1)". The record is from RNAcentral. Lineage: Eukaryota; Metazoa; Chordata; Mammalia; Carnivora; Canidae.
AAUGUAGCUAUCUUGAUACAUGUAGAUAUAGUUUAUUCUUUUCAACUGCCUUGUAAUAUUGCCCCACAGGAGUGCACCACCUUUUACAUAUCCAUCUCUUUAUUGAAGGACAUUGCAGUGGAAUCCAUCUUUUCACUGGUACAAAUACUGCUACAAUGGCCAUCCUUGCAUGUAUCCUUUGUGCCCAGGAAGAUGCCUCUGUGUGUCUCCUGGGAAUGGAAGGGAGGCACCAGGCUGGCAGGGAUGGAAGAUACUGAAGGAAAGGGGGUCCAGUUCAUCUGCAUGAUAAGAGCACUGAUCAAUCAAUCAAUCAAUCAAUCAGUCAACAAAUGAAUGCCUCUGGCUGAGAGGAGAAGAGGAAGAUGAAGAGGGGAGAGGAGACGAUUCCAGCUGAGUGAACCAGAUUCUUUUCUACCCAUUACUCUUACUCUACUUCCUAACCAGAAACUCUUCUAAUCUUUCUCUUCUCUCUUUCUCUCUCUCUCUCUUUAGAGACGAAGUGAGGAGGAGCAGAGAAAGAGGGAGAAAGAGAAUCCCAAGCAGACUCCGUGCCCAGCACGGAGCCCGACUCAGGGCUCAAGCUCACAACCCUGAGAUCAUGACCUGAGCCAAAAAUCAAGAGUUGCACACUUAACUGAGUCACCCAGGCACCCUUUCUCUUCUUUAAUAAAGGAAUAAUCAUAACUACACUGUAAGAUUAUUGAAAGAAUUAGAGCUUAAAUACCUUUCACAGUGCUUCGCACAAAUGAGGCACUUAGUGAAUGCUACUUGUUGUAUAAAUAUUACCAUUUCUAUUCUUUAAAAAAAAAAGAUUUUAUUUAUUUAUUUGAGAGAGAGAGUGAACAGAGGGUAAAUGAGAGGGAAAAGCAGAUUCCCUACUGAAUAGGGAGCCUGAUAUGGGGCCGAUCCUAGGCCCCUGAGAUCAUGACCUGAAUCAAAGUCAGAUGGUUAACUGACUGAGCCACCCAGGUGCCCCAAUAUUACCAUUUCUAAAAUAAUAAUAGCAACUUUGCCUCCUGAGCACAAAGAAGAUUGAAGGAGUAAGAAAAAAUUUUUCUUUGCUUCUUGCUGGGGUUUCUUUUGCCUUUUGGACAAUGAACUAAAAUAAGAAAAAAAAUAUUUGAGUAUCAGGUGAGGGUGAGUUUAGAUUUCAGUUUCUGUGAGUCACUGUUAAUGCACCUGUCCUGAGUUGGUGCCAUUAGCCUCAUCUUCUCUAGGCCAGAUCGUCUUAGUUCACACACACAUUAUUCUUUUGUAUUUCUGCUCUACUUCUCUCCUUGUUGGGAUUGUGAUGCUGGCCAACCUUUCCAAUUAGCUUGAACAGCCAUUAAAACUCGUCCAUUAAAAUUCACUUCCCUACAGAGCUAAAGGGUAAUUUUCUGAAUAAACCUCUUAGGGUUGUUAUAACAAUCAAAUUAAAGAAAGUGUGAAGAAGCUUUUUGUAGGCUGCUUUGCUGGGAGAGGAGAGAAGUAGAUUGAAACAUGGCAUUUAGGAUCAAAAUUCCUCUUUACACAGAGCCUUCUGACUGCUUCCUUUGCAGUCUGUGCCCUGGUUUUUCUUGUUUACAAGAUAAUAAUUGUGACUACCAUUUAUUAGAUGGCUUCCAUCCCAUUGAUUAAAAUUUUUUAAAAACGAUUUUAUUUAUUUAUUCAUGAGAGACACAGAGAGAGGCAGAGAAACAGGCAGAGGAGAAGCAGACUCCAUGCAGGGAGCCCGAUGCAGGACUCGAUUCCAGGACUCCAGGAUCAUGCCCUGAGCCAAAGGCAGACACUCAACUGCUGAGCCACUCAGGCAUCCCCCCUUGAUUAAAUUUUGAUCAUGGUUCAUGAUUUAUAUAUAUCAUUAGACUCUCAAAAUCAUUCUAAGAAGCAUAAUUCUAUUUUCUUUGAGUUUACAAGUGAAGAAACUAAAGGUUAGAGAGAUUAAGUACGUCCCCUGAAAUCACACAGCUAAUAAGUGAUAUAGUCAGCAUUCCAAACUAAUUCAGUUGGACUCCAAAAGUCAUGCUAAACGAAUAUAUUGUGAAGACUAAGUGAAAUAAUCUAUGUGAAAAGUCAUUCCAAAAUAUAAAAUUAGAUGGUAUUGUAAGCAAUUAUUCUCAUUUAAAAAGUGGCUUUGCUCCUAGUGAAACAGGGAAUUCAGAAUUAGGUCUCCACAGACAGAAGAAAGCCAAUCCAAAAUGAAGGGGCCUAUGUUUUAAGUUAGUUUAGGUAAAGUAACAUAAGGGAGAUAGGACUCCAAUUUGCUCCAAAUGGAUCACUUUGGUUGAAGACAAAAGAUCAUUUUUUUUUAAAGAUUUCAUUUACUUUUUCAUGAGAGACACACAGAGAGAGGCAGAGACACAGGCAGAGGGAGAAACAGGCUCCCUGCGGGGAGCCCGAUGUGGACUCCACCCCAGGACUCCAGGACCCCAGGAUCAUGACCUGACCCAAAGGCAGACGUUCAACCACUGAGCCACCCAGGUGACCCCAGAAGAUCAUUAUUAUCCCACUUAGUGAAAAUGCUGUAGUAGACAUUGUGGGAAAUGAUACUAACC